UACGUAGGGUGCAAGCGUUGUCCGGAAUUACUGGGCGUAAAGGGCGCGUAGGCGGGCUGGCAAGUCGGUCGUGAAAUCCCUCGGCUCAACUGAGGAUCGUCGAUCGAUACUGCCGUUCUUGAGGAUUGCAGAGGAGACUGGAAUUCCCGGUGUAGCGGUGAAAUGUGUAGAGAUCGGGAGGAACACCGGUGGCGAAGGCGGGUCUCUGGGCAAUUCCUGACGCUGAGGCGCGAAAGCGUGGGGAGCAAACGGG
This 253-nucleotide ribosomal RNA is filed under the name uncultured bacterium. RNAcentral describes it as "partial 16S ribosomal RNA". It matches the Rfam family "Bacterial small subunit ribosomal RNA", at positions 524 to 776 of the family's 1533-position model. The record is from RNAcentral.